Bubalus bubalis (water buffalo) is the source of this 394-nucleotide long non-coding RNA. RefSeq lists it as uncharacterized. The transcript has 3 exons. Lineage: Eukaryota; Metazoa; Chordata; Mammalia; Artiodactyla; Bovidae. The record is from RefSeq and is a predicted model, not a curated record.
CCAAAAUGCCCAGGACGUGGCGACCAAUUGUUUCUUCAACAGCUGCUGUUGUCUUUACCACUUCUAAGAGGAUCUUCAGAAGUCUGUUAUUAGCUUUCUGGAGUGCAUACCUGUACAGCUUAAUUCAACAAAGGUACAGUGGUGGCAAACUACGCAUUUCCUGCACGUAGAGAAAAUACAAGACUCUCAUGGGGAAGGCGCUCUGCCUCAAGACACUUUCUCUUCAGCUCCACAGUGCGGGAGAUCACCAACAAACAGCUGCUCCUGGUCUUCUCGCUGUCUCUCCAUCUGCCGCAUGUGUGCCUGCCUUAAAAGCUCUGUUGCCUGUUGAUGUUCCUGGUACUGUCGUACAAGUUCCUGCCUCAUAUCUUCCAACUGUUCUUCAUUUAACAUC